GACGAACGCUGGCGGCGUGCUUAACACAUGCAAGUUGAACGGUAAGGCUCCAGCUUGCUGGGGUACACGAGUGGCGAACGGGUGAGUAACACGUGGGUGACCUGCCCUGCACUUCGGGAUAAGCCUGGGAAACUGGGUCUAAUACCGGAUAGGACCGCACCGUGAGGGUGUGGUGGAAAGUUUUUUCGGUGUGGGAUGGGCCCGCGGCCUAUCAGCUUGUUGGUGGGGUAAUGGCCUACCAAGGCGGCGACGGGUAGCCGGCCUGAGAGGGUGGACGGCCACAUUGGGACUGAGACACGGCCCAGACUCCUACGGGAGGCAGCAGUGGGGAAUAUUGCACAAUGGGCGGAAGCCUGAUGCAGCGACGCCGCGUGGGGGAUGACGGCCUUCGGGUUGUAAACUCCUUUCACCAUCGACGAAGGGUUUCUGACGGUAGAUGGAGAAGAAGCACCGGCUAACUACGUGCCAGCAGCCGCGGUAAUACGUAGGGUGCGAGCGUUGUCCGGAAUUACUGGGCGUAAAGAGCUCGUAGGUGGUUUGUCGCGUCGUCUGUGAAAUUCCGGGGCUUAACUCCGGGCGUGCAGGCGAUACGGGCAUAACUUGAGUACUGUAGGGGAGACUGGAAUUCCUGGUGUAGCGGUGAAAUGCGCAGAUAUCAGGAGGAACACCGGUGGCGAAGGCGGGUCUCUGGGCAGUAACUGACGCUGAGGAGCGAAAGCAUGGGGAGCGAACAGGAUUAGAUACCCUGGUAGUCCAUGCCGUAAACGGUGGGCGCUAGGUGUGGGUUUCCUUCCACGGGAUCCGUGCCGUAGCUAACGCAUUAAGCGCCCCGCCUGGGGAGUACGGCCGCAAGGCUAAAACUCAAAGGAAUUGACGGGGGCCCGCACAAGCGGCGGAGCAUGUGGAUUAAUUCGAUGCAACGCGAAGAACCUUACCUGGGCUUGACAUAUACAGGAUCGCGCCAGAGAUGGUGUUUCCCUUGUGGCUUGUAUACAGGUGGUGCAUGGUUGUCGUCAGCUCGUGUCGUGAGAUGUUGGGCUAAGUCCCGCAACGAGCGCAACCCUUGUCUUAUGUUGCCAGCACGUUGUGGUGGGGACUCGUAAGAAACUGCCGGGGUUAACUCGGAGGAAGGUGGGGAUGACGUCAAAUCAUCAUGCCCCUUAUGUCCAGGGCUUCACACAUGCUACAAUGGUCGGUACAGUGGGUUGCCAGUCCGUGAGGGCGAGCUAAUCCCGCAAAGCCGGUCUCAGUUCGGAUCGGGGUCUGCAACUCGACCCCGUGAAGUCGGAGUCGCUAGUAAUCGCAGAUCAGCAACGCUGCGGUGAAUACGUUUCCGGGCCU
Molecule: ribosomal RNA, 1341 nt
Filed under: uncultured bacterium
Lineage: Bacteria
Description: partial 16S ribosomal RNA
Rfam family: Bacterial small subunit ribosomal RNA
Source: RNAcentral